Molecule: long non-coding RNA, 301 nt
Filed under: Nicotiana benthamiana
Lineage: Eukaryota; Viridiplantae; Streptophyta; Magnoliopsida; Solanales; Solanaceae
Description: long non-coding RNA (NBEN_LNC033969)
Source: RNAcentral
AGACAAUUGCAAAAAGGUCUGGUGAUGUCUACAUCCCUCGAGGUGUAUCUGUUCCGGCCUUGGACAAGGAUAUACUAUGGGAAUUUCAGCCUAAGAAAAUAGGUAUAAUUGUAGUCUUUUACUAUAUGACAUUUUGGACCUUGAACUUAGAAAAAUAUUGAUUACUCUGCUAUUGUAGCCUUUUACUAUAUGACAUUUUGGACCUUGAACUUAGAAAAAUAUUGAUUACUCUGCUCAUUAUCUAUAUCAUGGUGCCAGGUGAGGGAGAUCUCUUAACAGGUGGAGAUUUGUAUGCUGUAAG